GUACUGGCACUGCAACCCCAAAAAAGAAAAUUAAAUUCACACUUCCACCAUUCCUCACAUCAUUGAGUCUCCAUCCUUUAUGGAGACUUUAUACUCUUAAAAAGACCCCCCAGAACCUUUGUUUAUGUGGGUUCUAUGUAUCCUAUUAGGAAUCAAAACUGAGAAACUUUUAAGGCAUGCAUGCCAUUAGGCAUCAUAGCAGUGACAUCACCACAUAUCAUGCACUCUCUGAAAACUCUACCAUUCACUCAUGAGACAAUGAGUGUGAAAGAGGCAAAUAGUAUUAUUAUGAAGAUAAUUUUGACCUUCUGGACUCUGAAAGAUCUUCAGAAACCCCAGGGUUUUUGAGAACUGCAUUUUGAGAACUGCUGCCUUAGCUGCUGCUACCAUCCUUAUAAAUGUUUCUGAAGCUUAGGAAGCUAAAAUGUUCUGCCUCCAGAUCUGUAAAUGACGUCAGCACAGGAAGCAAGUACGGAAAGAGCACGGGGGUAGGAAGCCUUGCUUCCAUUUGUCCUUUCCAGAGAUUGACGCCUUCUCCAAUACAACAAUUUCCCAUCCUGCACAAACAGAAACACACUACUGCUUGCUGAUUUGGGUUUUGUCCCCCUUGCCCUGCUCAGAUGAGAUGAAUACUCACAACUCUCUGCUAAAGACAAAGAUGGAGUUUGGGUGGACAAAGCAAGAAACUCUUUUCUGUGCACACAAUGUCCCUACAAGGAAUAGGACCCCCAGUAACUUUCCAUGCCUCCAAGAAAGACAACUGGAGCCAGGCGCGGUGGCUCAUGCCUGUAAUUCCAGCAUUUAGGAGGCCGAGGCAGGCAGAUCACGAGGUCAGGAGUUCAAGACUACCCUGGCCAACAUGGUGAAACCACAUCUCUACUAAAAAUACAAAAAAAUUAAGCCCGGGCGUGGUGGCUCACGCCUGUAAUCCAAACACUUUGGGAGGCCGAGGCAGGCGGAUCACCUGAGGUCAGGAGUUCGAGACCAGCCUGGCCAACAUGGUUAAACCCCAUCUCUACUAAAAAUAUAAAAAUUAGCUGGCCAUGGUGGUGCAUGCCUGUUAUCCCAGCUACUUGGGAGGCUGAGGCAGGAGAAUUGCUUGAAUCCAGAGGGUGGAAGUUGCAGUGAGCUGAGAUCGCACCACUGCACUGCAGCCUGGGUGACAAAGCAAGACUCAGUCUCGAAAAAAAAAAGAAAUAGAACUGGGUGGCAUGCACACAGGGGCAAUAGGAAAUAGGGAGAUUUUCACAGUUUCAUUUUGAAUUUGAUGUCAUACAAAUAUGUUAUCUAUCCCCCCCCACAAAAAAUUUAAAAUCUAAAUCUAAUCCCCAGUACUAUCAGUCUUUUGAUAGCUAACAUUCCAAAAUGCCCUCCAGAGUUCACAAGACUCCCAAAAAAUGCAUCUAAAGGAAAAACCAAUAACAAAUAGCUCACACAUGUACUAUGUAAACGUACUAGGUACUGCCCCCGCACGCACCGCGUCAACGUACUAGGUACUGCUCACACACGUACUAGGUAAACGUACUAGGUACUGCUCACACAUGUACUACGAUGCUCUACAAACUGCCUUGCCCUAACUUUACUCACUUCACCUCAUUCUUUCCCGGCAUGAAGGAACCACAGUUACCUGUCCAAAGCAUAACACUGAGCCGCCGCCAGCAGCAGGAUGGCUGUCACGUCCUCCAAGAAUUGCUUCCUCAGUCCCAGACAUCUUGAUUCUGGUUGACCUCUAUAUAAAUAAAAAGCGGAAAAAAAAAACAACCCUCAAAGAAUGUUUAAAGUAAAAGGCAAGAGCCUCUACUGAAAAAUCACAUAAAGAAUCCUUAUGCGGCCAGGCACAGUGGCUCAUGCCUGUAAUCCCAGCACUUUGGGAGGCCGAGGUGGGUGGAUCACAAGGUCAGGAGAUGGAGACCAUCCUGGCUAACAUGGUGAAACCCCCUCUCUACUAAAAAUCCAAAAAAAUUAGCUGGGCAUGGUGGCAGGCGCCUGUAAUCCCAGCUACUCGGGAGGCUGAGGCAAAGAAUUGCUUGAACCCAGGAGGCGGAGGUUGCAGUGAUCUGAGAUCACACCCUGCACUCCAGCCUGGGCGACAGAGCGAGACUCCAUUUCAGGAAAAAAAAAAAAAAAGAAUCCCUAUGCAAUACCCUAAGAGUUAUUUAUAAGCUUCUAAGCACUGCUCCAAUCCAGAACAGAGUUCCUCAGUGGUUAGCUGUGGUCUCUCAAGCUGCUGAAGAUUCUUUAAGGUCUACUUCUACCUUUCUGUUAACAUGUUUGCUAUUCUGGCGGUGCUAUUAAAGGUGAUUUUUACAAUAAGAAUAUAUUACAUUUAGAACUAUAAAAUCAAAAUUACAAAAAAUUCUUUAUGGGAAAGCAAACAAAAAAUGUACUAUAGGUGGAACAUUGCUAAUCCAAAAAUCCAAAAUUCAAAAUGCUCCAAAAUCCAAAACGUUUUGAGUGCCAACAUGAUGUGUUAUAGUCAAAACACAGGUAAUGGCCAGGCAUGGUGGCUCAAACCUAUAAUCCUACCACCUUGGGAGGCCAAGGCAGAAGGACUGCUUGAGCCCAGGAGUUUGAGACUAGCCUAGACAACAAAACCCCAUCACUACAAAAAAUUUAAAAAUUAGCCAGGCGUGGUGCUAUGCUACUUAGGAGGCUGAUGUGGGAGGAUCGCUUGAGCUCAGGAGUUUGAGGCUGCAGUGAGCUAUGACCACCCCAUCGCACUCCAGCCUGGGUGACAGAGUGUCUGACUCUGUCUCAAAAAAAAAAAAAAACAAAAAAAAAGGCAGGCACACAACACACAGUUUAUUCAGCUUCUCCAAGAGAAAAAUUCAAUUAUCAGCCAGACGCAGUCACUGACACCUAUAAUCCCAGCACUUUGGGAGGCUGAGGCGGGCGGAUCACCUGAGGUCAGGAGUUUGAGACCAGCCUGGCCAACAUGGUGAAAUGUCUUUAUAAAAAUACAAAAAUUAGCCGGGUGUGGUAGUGCGAGCCUGUAAUUCCAGCUACUUGGGAGGCUGAGGUAGGAGAAUCGCUUGAACCUGGGAGGCAGAGGUUGCAGUGAGCUGAGAUUGUGCCACGGCACUCCAGCCUGGGCGAGAGUGAGACUCCAUCUCAAAAAAAAAAAAAAAAAAAAAUCAUCUUUAGGCUCUGAAAACAAAUGAAUUUCAUGUUUAGACUUGGGUCCCCUUCCCAAGAUAUCUGAUUAUAUAUAUUCAAAUAUUCCAAAAUCUGAAGUCCAAAACACUUCUGGUCCCAAAGCAUUUCAGAGAAGCAAUACCCAACCUGUACUAGCUAAGAGGGUAACUGGGAGGUGGUGGAUAUGUGAAUUACCUUGACUGUGGUAAUCAUUUCACAGUGCAUUCACAUAUCAAAUCAUCACAUUGUACACCCUAAAUAUAUACAAUUUUUGUCAGUCAUACCUCAAAAAAGCUGGGGGGUAGGGAAGAAAAAUCAAGUGAAUCUGUUUUAAAGUUUAAAAAAACCGGCCAGGUGUGGUGGCUCACACCUGUAACCCUAACACUUUGGGAGGCCAAAGCAGGCGGAUCACCUGAGGUCAGGAGUUCGAGAUCAGCCUGACCAACAUAGUGAAACCCCAUCUGUACUAAAAAUACAAAAAAAUUAGCCGGAUGUGGUGGCAGGCGCCUGUAGUCCCAGCUACUCGGGAGGCUGAGGCAGGAGAAUCACUUGAACUUGGGAGGCAGAGGUUGCAGUGAACUGAGAUUGUGCCACUGCACUCCAGCCUGGGUGACAGAACAAGACUCCAUCUCAAAAAUAAUAAUAAUAAAGUUUUUAAAAACCUCAACUUACUGCUCACUACUAUAUAGGCAGCAUGACCCUGGACACUGUGGGGUCAAAAAGAAAUAGAAGCCACAAUCACUGAAAUGCUUUCCAGGAGCUAACAAGAUAGCUGGAGGGAGGAGACUUAAUAGAAAUGAAACAAAUGAAGAGCAGGAGGCCCCAACAUUCAGGAAGGCUACAGAGCAAAAAGCCACUUCACUUCCUUAACCAGCAGCAUCACCAUCACCUGUGAAUCUUUUUUUUUUUUUUUUUUUGUAAGCGUUUCGCUCUUGUCGCCUAGGCUGCCCUGCAGUGGUGUGGUCUCAGCUCACUGCAACCUUCACCUCCUGGGUUCAAGCGAAUCUGCUGCUUCAGUCUCCUGAGUAGCUGAGAUUACAGGUGUGCGCCACCAUGCCCGGCUAAAUUUUGCAUUUUUAGUAGAGACAGGGCCGGGCGUGGUGGCUCACGCCUGUAAUCCCAACACUUCGGGAGGCUGAGGAGGGCAGAUCACCUGAGGUCAGGAAUUCGAGACCAGCCUGACCAACAUGGAAAAACCCCGUCUCUACUAAAAAUACAAAAUUAGCCGGGUGUGGUGGUGCAUGCCUGUAAUCCCAGCUACUCAGGAGGCUGAGGCAAGAGAAUCGCUUGAACCCGGAAGGCGGAGGUUGCAGUGAGCCGAGAUUGCGCCAUUGCACUCCCGCCUGGGAAACAAGAGUGAAACUCCGUCUCAAAAAAAUAAAUAAA
This is a long non-coding RNA of Homo sapiens (human), 4521 nucleotides long. RefSeq lists it as uncharacterized. The transcript has 2 exons. NCBI's taxonomy places the organism in Eukaryota, Metazoa, Chordata, Mammalia, Primates, Hominidae. The record is from RefSeq and is a predicted model, not a curated record.